Molecule: ribosomal RNA, 481 nt
Filed under: uncultured bacterium
Lineage: Bacteria
Description: partial 16S ribosomal RNA
Rfam family: Bacterial small subunit ribosomal RNA
Source: RNAcentral
GACGAACGCUGGCGGCGUGCUUAACACAUGCAAGUCGAGCGAUGAAGUUUCUUCGGAAAUGGAUUAGCGGCGAACGGGUGAGGAACACGUGAAGAAUCUGCCCUCCACUUUGGGAUAACACAGGGAAACCUGUGCUAAUACCGAGUAUUGAAACAUAAGUGGCAUCACUGAGUUUUGAAAGAAUUUCGGUGGAGGAUGACUUCGCGGCCUAUCAGCUAGUUGGUGAGGUAGUGGCUCACCAAGGCAACGACGGGUAGCCGGCCUGAGAGGGCGACCGGCCAUACUGGGACUGAGACACGGCCCAGACUCCUAAGGGAGGCAGCAGUGGGGAAUAUUGGGCAAUGGAGGAAGCUCUGACCCAGCGACGCCGCGUGCGGGAUGAAGGCCUUCGGGUUGUAAACCGCUUUCAGUAGGGAAGAAGCGAAAGUGACGGUACCUACAAAAGAAGCACCGGCUAACUAUGUGCCAGCCGCCGCCGUAA